This 253-nucleotide ribosomal RNA is filed under the name uncultured bacterium. RNAcentral's name for it is "partial 16S ribosomal RNA". It matches the Rfam family "Bacterial small subunit ribosomal RNA", at positions 524 to 776 of the family's 1533-position model. The record is from RNAcentral.
UACGGAGGGGGCAAGCGUUAUUCGGAAUUAUUGGGCGUAAAGGGCGCGUAGGCGGCUAGAUGUGUCAAAGGUGAAAUCCCUCGGCUCAACUGAGGAACUGCCUUUGAAACUGUCUGGCUUGAGGCCGGGAGAGGGUAGCGUAAUUCCCAGUGUAGCGGUGAAAUGCGUAGAUAUUGGGAGGAACACCAGUGGCGAAGGCGGCUACCUGGACCGGUUCUGACGCUGAGGCGCGAAAGCGUGGGGAGCAAACAGG